RNAcentral lists this ribosomal RNA (373 nucleotides) under Stevenia sp. n. 5 AT-2015. RNAcentral describes it as "partial 16S ribosomal RNA". The record is from RNAcentral. Lineage: Eukaryota; Metazoa; Arthropoda; Insecta; Diptera; Rhinophoridae.
UCGAAGGUAGCAUAAUCAGUAGUCUUUUAAUUGAAGGCUGGAAUGAAUGGUUGGACGAAAUAUUAACUGUUUCAUAAUAAUUUUUAAUAUAAUUUUAUUUUUUAGUAAAAAAGCUAAAAUUUAUUUAAAAGACGAGAAGACCCUAUAAAUCUUUAUAUAAUUAUUUAUUAUAAUUUUUUAGAUUUAUUUUAUUAUAAUUUUUAAUUAUAUUUUAUUGGGGUGAUAUUAAAAUUUAAUAAACUUUUAAUUUUUAAAAUAUCAUUAAUUUAUGAAUAGUUGAUCCGUUAAUAACGAUUAAAAAUUUAAGUUACUUUAGGGAUAACAGCGUAAUUUUUUUGGAGAGUUCAUAUCGAUAAAAAAGAUUGCGACCUCG